Molecule: small RNA, 288 nt
Filed under: human gut metagenome
Description: 5' ureB small RNA
Rfam family: 5' ureB small RNA
Source: RNAcentral
CUGCUGGGGAGCUACAAAAUGCACGUGACCGUCAAUACCGGCUGCAGUCAAUAUAAGAUGCUCGCCAGAGAUAGCGUCAGUCGAUGGGCCUGUACACAACGUAGGUGUCACGCCUUCCAUGACGUUAGGGUUACCGGCUUUGCCUAUGCCAGCGAUUUUGCCAUCCUUGACUCCGACAUCAGCUUUGACUACACCGAUGAUAGGGUCGAUGAUGGUGACAUUGGUUAUGACGAGGUCAAGCGACCCGCCAUCGCUGGUGAUGGUGUUGGCUGUGCCCAUGCCGUCACG